Molecule: ribosomal RNA, 253 nt
Filed under: uncultured bacterium
Lineage: Bacteria
Description: partial 16S ribosomal RNA
Rfam family: Bacterial small subunit ribosomal RNA
Source: RNAcentral
UACGGAGGGUGCAAGCGUUGUUCGGAAUUACUGGGCGUAAAGCGCACGUAGGCGGCUCUGUAAGUUGGGGGUGAAAUCCCGAGGCUCAACCUCGGAAUUGCCUUCAAGACUGCAGGGCUUGAGUUCGGGAGAGGUGAGUGGAAUUCCCAGUGUAGAGGUGAAAUUCGUAGAGAUUGGGAAGAACACCAGUGGCGAAGGCGGCUCACUGGCCCGUAACUGACGCUGAGGUGCGAAAGCGUGGGGAGCAAACAGG